GCGGACGUGGUGGAAUGGCAGACACGCCAGGUUUAGGUUCUGGUGACCAAAAGUCGUGGGGGUUCAAGUCCCCCCGCCCGCACCA
Molecule: transfer RNA, 85 nt
Filed under: Holosporales bacterium
Lineage: Bacteria; Pseudomonadati; Pseudomonadota; Alphaproteobacteria; Holosporales
Description: tRNA-Leu
Rfam family: tRNA
About the family: Transfer RNA (tRNA) molecules are approximately 80 nucleotides in length. Their secondary structure includes four short double-helical elements and three loops (D, anti-codon, and T loops). Further hydrogen bonds mediate the characteristic L-shaped molecular structure. tRNAs have two regions of fundamental functional importance: the anti-codon, which is responsible for specific mRNA codon recognition, and the 3' end, to which the tRNAs corresponding amino acid is attached (by aminoacyl-tRNA synthetases). tRNAs cope with the degeneracy of the genetic code in two manners: having more than one tRNA (with a specific anti-codon) for a particular amino acid; and 'wobble' base-pairing, i.e. permitting non-standard base-pairing at the 3rd anti-codon position.
Source: RNAcentral